Heterocephalus glaber (naked mole-rat) is the source of this 3581-nucleotide long non-coding RNA. RefSeq lists it as uncharacterized. The record is from RefSeq and is a predicted model, not a curated record. Lineage: Eukaryota; Metazoa; Chordata; Mammalia; Rodentia; Bathyergidae.
UAUACCUAAAAUGUACCAAUAAAAGAAUUUAAGGGGGGAAAAAAAAGAAAAACAGCUCUGACAGCAUCUUACCCUGGAACCUAGAUAUGGCCUAAAUAUCAAGUCAUAGUGCAUGAAUUGACCCUUCGUAGUGACACGCCUGUGACAUGAGAAAUGUUCCAGCUAUCUAGAUCAGUUUUCUAUCGCUGAUCAUUAGAUCUGUCAAAGCACCACUACACGGUGUGUUUGCUUAUUCUUUCUCAGAGUUACUUAGAAGGCUAACAUUUGCAUAGAUCAUUUCAUCCCUUUACUCAAGAAAUGAAUGUUGGGUCUUUAUUGUGCAAGACACUGAAUAGAUUUAUUAUGAAACUGAUGAUAUUCUAGCUCCAGGGCUCCUUACAGGGACAGGUCAUCUCCAAAUCCUCAUCCUAAUCUUACAGUCACAAUUUUGCAUUCAUUAUUUUCUCAAAGAAAACCACAAAUGAUAUAACCUUAAGUUCUAUAAAAUCUUGAAUAGCCUCUGAUAUCAGCACUGCAGAAAAUGCAUAAGAAUCUCACCGUCAGCUCGAUACUGGGGCAGCUCCAACUGAGAUGGGGUUGCAUGAGAACAAGCCCAGACCCCUGUGUCCUCUGAGUACCCGGAAUCCCCACUGCUGUGCUCCUCCUCUGAGUCAUGCCCUCUCUACUGCAAUGGUCAGGGUGUCCUGUAACCCUAGGGGCAUGGUCUGCCAUCCCCAGGAUGCCAUUCACCCCAAACUCCUGUGCCUGAGUGAGGGUCAGAUGAUGCCACUGUGACUUUUGCCCAGCCCAGGACAGAAAGGACUCUUUGCUUUGUUGAAUGUGGAUCACUGCUAUCAAGAGUGCUCUGAAUUUGAGCUGCAAGGUCAUAGGGGAGAAACAAAGAAGAGAUUGCUUAUUCCGUCGCUAAUUCUUCCUAACAGCUGCGCUUUACAUGCUCAGUCUGAGGAGGCACCGACAUACUCUUCACUUAACUAAUUCCUUCUGCACAUGAGGCAGGUGGUUGGCACAUGUGUGCUUUUGUACCUGUCUGGUUUGCUUCUUGCAUUUGCCCUUUAUUAGGCCACACACUCUUUCUGUUUGUUUGUUUGUUUUUUGCAAACAUGGAAGUUAGCAUUCAUUCUUGCAAAGACGGGGCCGCACCUCUGCUGUGUUAAAGACUGAAGGAAAUGACAGGCCCUGGCUCUCUUCUUGUGUAUCUUCUGUUGCUGUGAGCAUCAUCAGGCAACCUUGAUCUGUCUUCUUAUUAUGACUAAAGUAGCUGGAAUUUUAUGCUAUACAAUUUUAGGUGAGAAACACAGACUAUGUCCUAGAAUUCAGCCAGGCAUGAAUUUCUGGAAUCAAAUCACAUUGUGCUAAUUAUUGGUUUAUUGACAACUUCUCCAGCUAGGGCACUAUGCCAUCGGAGGGAGCGCUGAUCCCUACCCUCCUCCUAGAGCCCUGACCUUCUCUUUAUGGAAAGAACACAGCUGUGUGCAGGCGAGAUCCCCCACCACUGGGUGAGUGGGAACAGGUAGCAUUUUGCAAAUUACAUUUGUCACGUUCAACUAUCUUGCCUUGCCUUUUAUUAGGAAUCCCUAUGCUCUCAGUUUUUUCCUUUUGUCUCAACAAAGUAACACAGCAAAUAAAAUUUCUUUCCCCAAACCCUUGCUUAUAAAUAAUUAAUUAGUUUAUCUCCUUUUCUGCCCUCAAUUCUCCCUUUAAAAGUGGGGAGUGGAUUCCCUUUGUUCCUUUAGCUUAGGGAAGUUUCAAAGAUUUGGACUUUCUGGGGCUGUUUGCCUCUGAACUUCUGCCUGGCCACACAGCUCCUUUACCUGUCUACAUAGCUGGCCCAGGAAGCUACCUGAGCAGCAGCAGAGAGCCAGGUGCGCUGGGUCACACUUGUCCUCCAGAGGCACAAAUUGAGGGCUGCUCUUGGCUCACUCUUACCUGUACUGUGCCAGUACAGGCCUCGCUGGCCACAGCCCACCUCAUACUAGACGAGAGAGAAGGCUAGAUAGUGAGCAAGCUCUCUGAGUUUCCCUUUGCAUAUGCCCGUUAAUAAACCAUGUACUCUUGUUUGCAAACAUGAAAGCUAACAUUCAUUUUUGCAACACGUUCAUUUUGCAAGAGAGUUAUGUUUACUUGAAAGAAGAAUUCACAUAUUUAGAGACACCUGACUUGAUCUGGUGGGAAGUGCUGCAGCUACUGCAGGGGCAGCGCUGUACUGAAGAUGGAAGGAAAUGACUCAGAGGUGAGCAGCCGUUGCGUGAGCAUGGCCCAGGGCUGGUCACUCAGACACACUCUGUUUGUGGCUCACCCUCUGCACAGUUGCUUCUAAGAUUCCAAUGCAGCUGUGCGCGCGCGUGCACACACACACACACACACACACACACACACACACGCAUGCACGCCCCGAAACAAGAACACUCAACUUUUCAAGAUUUCCUCCAAGCAGGAGGCAGGGCUUGCUCAGCCCCCAGGGAAGGAGCCAAAAGACUUGCUUUUGUUAGCUCCCAGACCACUGGCAUGCGAAACCUGGGGAUUCACACUCUUUCCCCCCAAUGACGGCUGUCUGCACUGGUUAGAAGCAUAAGGAGAGGAAACCGAGGAAGCAGCACUUUCUGCAAAGUGGCCACAACGGACGGUGCAAGGGAGGGGUAGUCAGAGAGAGGGAGGGAUCUUUCGAAAUGCAUUUUCCUUUAAAACCAGACUCACAGACUUCCACUGCUGAUCUCUCUAAAACUCCCAAACUACUUCUGCAUUUAUUUAAUCCAGUGAAAACAUUUCUGUGAUAGGACCUCUGGAGACCUGGCUAAACACUGCCCCCAUCCAGUGUUUUGGUGCUGAUGUCCAAGACAAUCUCUGGGUCUCUCCCUCCAUGAUCAGUUUAUUAUAUGACAGCCAGGAAAGCAGACCAAUAAAACCCCAGGAAGGGAUGGGAAGAGCAGAGCCCGGCGAAGCGAAGCAGUGUUCGAGUGUCCCAAGAAAGUGAGUAGAGGGAGUUGGCUACCCCUGAAUCCCAAGAGACCUCUCCUGCGGGACACCUGACAUACUCAUCUCUUCAACCCUGCACCUUACCUUUGAGUUGCUGUCACAGAAACAGAAGGAAAUGAAGAGAAGCUAAAGAGGGAAGAAAGGAGCUCGCUGGGCAAGAUGGAUCUUUGGUUUUGUUUUGUGACAUCCUGGAGUUUUCUUUCUGCCCUUUCAAAGGUAAAAGCAGGAACUGUCUUGCCUAUGCCCAGACUACAAACACAUGUGAGUCCAGCCACAGACCAGAGCAGUAGGAGUUUCUGUAUCUGUGUUUGAGGACACAGAGCAACCUUCCCAACCCAUACCAUGUGGAUAAAAGACCUCUUCUGAGACCAAGUACAGAGCAGAAGUCUGUCGAUUACCAAGAGCCAAAGUCAUUAUUGUCGUCAUUAUUGUUUUCAUAAAGUCUGGGCUUUGCAGAGGUAAAAGAAGAAAGCUGGCCAGAAUUUCCUCACAACUUGAAAGCCAAGGAAAUCAUUAAUUUGGUUCCUUUAGGCAAGGAGUCCUAAUUGAUCAGGACUCAAAAUACACAGUCUGGAUUUUUUCAGUCAAUAAAAUAUGCAAGUAAUUAA